AUUUACGCGACACGCACACACGAAAACGCGGACGCGCGCGCACAGAGAUUCGACGACGGAAAUCACCGGGGCGGGACGGAAAAAACCGAAAAUUUUCAAAAAAAAACAAAAAAAAUUUAAAAAAAAAAAACCGUAAACGAGACGAAAAAACGAUCGCGGUUGUCGAGAUUAAUGUAAUGCCGAAAAAAAAUUACGAAAACACCCGAGUGUACCGCACACUGACCGCCGUCGAAGCUUGUCGUUGCGACGCCGGACCGACUGCACUCGCUAACAAUAGUGUUCGGGCCGCUGCGACGAUGCCGCGAAACGGGAACCCGACGGUUUCCGAUCGGCGCCGACAAACGGCCUCGCCGUACAGUUACCGCGGUUUUCCGAACGAUACACCUUUACUACCUCCAGUGGCGUGAAUCGGUCUCGAUUUCUGACCGCGCCUUGGAAUAUUAAAUUUUC
Non-coding RNA from Cinara cedri, 450 nucleotides. The record is from the annotation of a GenBank genome assembly. NCBI's taxonomy places the organism in Eukaryota, Metazoa, Arthropoda, Insecta, Hemiptera, Aphididae.